This 403-nucleotide ribosomal RNA is filed under the name Fusobacteriota bacterium. Its description in RNAcentral is "Fusobacteria bacterium partial 16S ribosomal RNA". It matches the Rfam family "Bacterial small subunit ribosomal RNA", at positions 355 to 776 of the family's 1533-position model. The record is from RNAcentral. Lineage: Bacteria; Fusobacteriati; Fusobacteriota.
UGGGGAAUAUUGCACAAUGGAGGGAACUCUGAUGCAGCGACGCCGCGUGAACGAAGAAGGCUUUCGAGUCGUAAAGUUCUUUUAUAUGGGAAGAUAAUGACGGUACCAUAAGAAAAAGCCCCGGCUAACUACGUGCCAGCAGCCGCGGUAAUACGUAGGGGGCUAGCGUUGUCCGGAAUCACUGGGCGUAAAGGGUUCGCAGGCGGAAAUGCAAGUCAGGUGUAAAAGGCAGUAGCUUAACUACUGUAAGCAUUUGAAACUGCAUAUCUUGAGAAGAGUAGAGGUAAGUGGAAUUUUUAGUGUAGCGGUGAAAUGCGUAGAUAUUAAAAAGAAUACCGGUGGCGAAGGCGACUUACUGGGCUCAUUCUGACGCUGAGGAACGAAAGCGUGGGUGGCAAACAGG